Molecule: ribosomal RNA, 510 nt
Filed under: uncultured bacterium
Lineage: Bacteria
Description: bacterial SSU rRNA
Rfam family: Bacterial small subunit ribosomal RNA
Source: RNAcentral
CGAACGCUGGCGGCGUGCUUAACACAUGCAAGUCGAACGCGAAAGGGACUUCGGUCCUGAGUAAAGUGGCGGCACGGGUGAGUAACGCGUAGAUAACCUGUCUUCAUGUCUGGAAUAAUACGCCGAAAGGGGUACUAAUACCGGAUAUUCUUGCUUUUCAUAAGUUAUGCAAGCAAAGGUGGCCUCUGCAUAUGCUACUGCAUGAAGAGGGGUCUGCGUACCAUUAGCUAGUAGGUGGGGUAAUGGCCUACCUAGGCGACGAUGGUUAGCGGGUCUGAGAGGAUGAUCCGCCACACUGGCACUGGAACACGGGCCAGACUCCUACGGGAGGCAGCAGUGAGGAAUAUUGCGCAAUGGGGGAAACCCUGACGCAGCGACGCCGCGUGAGUGAAGGAAGGCCUUCGGGUCGUAAAGCUCUGUCAAGAGGAAAGAAGUGUACAAUGGCUAAUACCUGUUGUAUUUGACGGUACCUCUAAAGGAAGCACCGGCUAACUCCGUGCCAGCAGCGGC